CUGUAAAUUGAGACACACUCACUCUCUCUCUCUCGCUUAGAAAAACGCAGCAGCAGCACGCAGACGCGGUUGACCGUUGAAGAAGUCGUUCUGAGGCCUGAGCGCAGCUCUGUUCGUCCACGAACGAAAAGGGGGAAAAAUGGGAGAAUCGGUGAAACGAAGCGACCUGGAAGAGAUUUUGAAGCCCUUCUACCAAAGAGCUUCUGAAUCCGAGGAACGCUUAUCAAGACUUGAAGCUGUCCUUGCAAGUAAGAAGAGUAGAUGUUGGAAAUGAGGACCACUUGAGAUUGAUAAGUGAACUUCAGUCACAGCUACAAGAAGCAAGUGCAGAGCUAGUUUCAGAACGAGAAAAGGCACAAAAGCUUGCUGAGGAAAAUGCAAAACUUCAAUAUCGUAUAAUCCAUCUUGUCAGGGCAGCAAAGGAGGCUGAUCUCAAGUUGGAGAGCAAGUCGUGAUGGUGAAGUGGAUGGGGAGGCUUUGAACUGAGCUUAUGGGCUGAGACACACAAUUGGUGGUGAUUUUACUAUUGGAUUGUGAGCUCAAAUAACAAUGAUGGUACUUUAUAAUUUAUAAUGUUAAUGCUGAUGCCCUCGUUUGUCAUCAUUUUCUUAUAUUUUCGUGUCAUAGAAGUGGUCUAAUUAUGCAUUUCUGUCAUGGUCCUUGUGAUCUAAUACAAGUUGCUUAGAUUUAUUAAUGUACUUGAAAAUGCCUGGAAGGAAUGUGUUUGGGUAAUGGCGACCCUUUCUCCCUGGCGGAGUAAUUCUAUAUACCACAUAUUCCCCUAA
Molecule: non-coding RNA, 785 nt
Organism: Corylus avellana
Lineage: Eukaryota; Viridiplantae; Streptophyta; Magnoliopsida; Fagales; Betulaceae
Source: RefSeq, a predicted model, not a curated record